Molecule: long non-coding RNA, 177 nt
Organism: Cotesia glomerata
Lineage: Eukaryota; Metazoa; Arthropoda; Insecta; Hymenoptera; Braconidae
Exons: 5
Source: RefSeq, a predicted model, not a curated record
AUUUAUAUACUGAUAAUCAGUAUACCUAGGUAUUGUGAUAAUCAGUAAACUUAUUGUGAUUAUCAAAAUAUUACGUUUUCUUAGUAACACAAUACCAAGUAUUUUGAUUAUCAAAAAAAAUAUCCUUAGUAGCAAAAUACUUUUUUCUCAUCUAAGUCAAUGUCGAUAUCUUCAUUG